RNAcentral lists this unclassified non-coding RNA (348 nucleotides) under soil metagenome. RNAcentral describes it as "partial contains 5.8S ribosomal RNA, internal transcribed spacer 2, and large subunit ribosomal RNA". The stretch from base 1 to 120 matches the Rfam family "5.8S ribosomal RNA", at positions 35 to 154 of the family's 154-position model. The record is from RNAcentral.
GAUGAAGAACGCAGCGAAAUGCGAUAAGUAAUGUGAAUUGCAGAAUUCAGUGAAUCAUCGAAUCUUUGAACGCACAUUGCGCCCGUCAGUAUUCUGGCGGGCAUGCCUGUCUGAGCGUCAUUUCAACCCUCAUGCCCCUAGGGCGUGGUGUUGGGGAUCGGCCAAAGCCCGCGAGGGACGGCCGGCCCCUAAAUCUAGUGGCGGACCCGUCGUGGCCUCCUCUGCGAAGUAGUGAUAUUCCGCAUCGGAGAGCGAUGAGCCCCUGCCGUUAAACCCCCAACUUUCCAAGGUUGACCUCAGAUCAGGUAGGAAUACCCGCUGAACUUAAGCAUAUCAAUAAGCGGAGGA